Molecule: ribosomal RNA, 474 nt
Filed under: uncultured bacterium
Lineage: Bacteria
Description: SSU rRNA
Rfam family: Bacterial small subunit ribosomal RNA
Source: RNAcentral
AGGACGAACGCUGGCGGCGCGCCUAAUACAUGCAAGUCGAGCGAGAACCGGGACUUCGGUCCCGGGGAGAGCGGCGAACGGGUGCGUAUCACGUGAGCAACCUGCCUCGGAGACCGGAAUAACUCGAGGAAACUCGGGCUAAUGCCGGAUGCCCUCGGUGGACCGCAUGGUCCGGCGAGGAAAUGGAUUCCGCUCCGAGAUGGGCUCGCGGCCUAUCAGCUUGUUGGUGGGGUAACGGCCUACCAAGGCGACGACGGGUAGCUGGUCUGAGAGGACGAUCAGCCACACUGGGACUGAGACACGGCCCAGACUCCUACGGGAGGCAGCAGUAGGGAAUCUUGCGCAAUGGGGGAAACCCUGACGCAGCGACGCCGCGUGCGGAUGAAGGCCUUCGGGUCGUAAACCGCUUUCAGCGAGGACGAAAUUGACGGUACCUGCAGAAGAACGGCCGGCCAACUACGUGCCAGCAGCCGC